UUAGUAACGGCGAGUGAAGCGGUAAAAGCUCAAAUUUGAAAUCUGGUACUUUCAGUGCCCGAGUUGUAAUUUGUAGAAUUUGUCUUUGAUUAGGUCCUUGUCUAUGUUCCUUGGAACAGGACGUCAUAGAGGGUGAGAAUCCCGUUUGGCGAGGAUACCUUUUCUCUGUAAGACUUUUUCGAAGAGUCGAGUUGUUUGGGAAUGCAGCUCAAAGUGGGUGGUAAAUUCCAUCUAAAGCUAAAUAUUGGCGAGAGACCGAUAGCGAACAAGUACAGUGAUGGAAAGAUGAAAAGAACUUUGAAAAGAGAGUGAAAAAGUACGUGAAAUUGUUGAAAGGGAAGGGCAUUUGAUCAGACAUGGUGUUUUUUGCAUGCACUCGCCUCUCGUGGGCUUGGGCCUCUCAAAAAUUUCACUGGGCCAACAUCAAUUCUGGCAGCAGGAUAAAUCAUUAAGAAUGUAGCUACUUCGGUAGUGUUAUAGCUUUUUGGAAUACUGUUAGCCGGGAUUGAGGACUGCGCUUCGGCAAGGAUGUUGGCAUAAUGGUUAAAUGCCGCCCGUCUUGAAACACGGACCA
This 574-nucleotide ribosomal RNA is filed under the name Hanseniaspora uvarum. Its description in RNAcentral is "eukaryotic LSU rRNA". It matches the Rfam family "Eukaryotic large subunit ribosomal RNA", at positions 80 to 668 of the family's 3401-position model. The record is from RNAcentral. Lineage: Eukaryota; Fungi; Ascomycota; Saccharomycetes; Saccharomycodales; Saccharomycodaceae.